Molecule: long non-coding RNA, 1855 nt
Filed under: Salmo trutta (river trout)
Lineage: Eukaryota; Metazoa; Chordata; Actinopteri; Salmoniformes; Salmonidae
Description: lncRNA (ENSSTUG00000022022.1)
Source: RNAcentral
AUUGUGUAUAUUGAUAUGAUAUGAAUGCAGAAAGGUCCUAAAUCUUACUAGAAUGUAUGCAGAUUGUGUAAAAUUGAGCAACAUGACACCUUGUUUAAGCACAAUGUUGUUGGGCGGGGUAACUCACCUCUAAAGUCAAGUCAGUCAAGUUUUCACUCACAGUUGAACAGUCACACCUCGGAGCUUUGUGUCAGUCUAUGCUUCGUUCCCACAGUUAUAAGACUGGCUGGCUGAAGGACGUAACCUGAAUUCCUGUGGUUGGCACUGGCCGUCUGGAAUUCCUCAUAUGGAAAUGUAUCUCCUCCUCUCCCACAUUUAAUGUGUGUUAAUGUAUUAUCUUUAUGUUCGAUGAUAACGCUUUUCCAAAGCACGUUAAAGUCAGCUGGCGUCGAGAGGGAAUCGAAUUGUAUGUCUGUAUCUUUCCAUUGGUCUCAGCCAGAUCUCUGACGCGUUAUUACGCGUGGCCUGCAGCAGCACAACUUUGCGUAACAGUAGUCUAUGACAUUAUAUUACUGUGGACUAUUAUCAGGUGAAGAGUGUGUAUUUCCUAUGUAAUGGAUAUUACCAUCGGAACGGAUCUGAGUGAGAUAGAGAGAAAGAUGGCUCGGAAGAUUCCAGAGAGUCUGUUUCCUUUUGCCACGGAUGGACGGAUGAUGAAAGAUAAUACAGAUGCUAGAGACGAGUGGGACUCGCCUGGCCAUGUAAAAGACAUGUCCUACACCACGAGUCUGCAGAGCAACAUGCGACUCCUAAGACAAUAAAUGGCACACCUGCGGGGCAUGGACGUCCGUCUGAUGUGCCAGCUCCUGUCGAUCAACGACGGCAUCGAGGCGACGCGCUGGGACCUGGAGGUGUAGCUGAGGUUGGGGAUGGCAGCGGUGACUAGCCAGGAGAGUAGCCUGGCCGAGAGCCAGGAUGCAUCCCGGCGAAGCAGCAUGUCCAGUCUGCACUAUGGGAGAGAUGGUUUUGAUGUGAUGACUGUGGGGAGUUAUCUGGGUAGCUUGGCGGAAGACCCAGCGGCGAUACCGGCCCUCUCUCGCCCGCUGACCAGGAACACUGUAUCCAGAGGGUUUCAGAGGACAACGUUAGUGGGGGAGAGUCCAGGAACACUGUAUCCAGAGGGUUUCAGAGGACAACGUUAGUGGGAGAGAGUCCAGGACAAUGUGAGAGUGAAAUUACAAGAUGAUGUUAUAAUACUGUUGUAGGCUUCACAACAGAAUUAAAUGAUUGUUUUUCUGGAAUAGAAUAGGGGUUUUAGAACACUCUCAUCUGUGGUCUUCUGAGUUGGGCCCUGGGGGAGAUAAGGUCUGAGACAGGAUGUGUGGGGUAGUGUCUGGUUCCAUUGUACGUCCUCUCUGAUGUUGCACCUAUCCUGGGAUAGUGUAUGACCCAGAGGCUCACUCCCCUCAGUCUGCUCGUCUAGGCGAGUGCUCAAGGACAUGGGUUUUACUUGAGAUGGGGGUAUCUGGAGCUGACAAUUGAUUUAUGCCAUAGAAUGAGUUAGUGUUGCUGUACUAUGAAGUACCAGGUAUGAGAUCUUAGGGGCCAAACUCUGUACAAUAACAACAGUUUUCAUAGCAAAUGGGUCACAAGGUGGUGAGACUUGAUACAUGAGAAAGGAGUAUCACCCAGCCAGAUACUUUUUUCUCAUGUAUCAAGUCUCACCACCUUGUGACCCGUUCCACACAUCUGUUGUUUGUCAUGUAGACUAAGAGUGUGUAUCUUUACUAUAAAAGGUGUUUGUCGGGGCUCUCAACGAAUCAUCUAAAGGUGGUUCGUCGACCAUCUUCAUUAUUGGAAUAAUUAAUCAAUGUUAUUAAUACGUUUUGAAUAAAGUAAAUAUCCUGAUUGGUAA